Long non-coding RNA from Callithrix jacchus (white-tufted-ear marmoset), 1910 nucleotides. RefSeq lists it as uncharacterized. Lineage: Eukaryota; Metazoa; Chordata; Mammalia; Primates; Cebidae. The record is from RefSeq and is a predicted model, not a curated record.
CAUUCUCCACAUGAGGGAACGGAAGCCCAGCCCAUCGUCAUCUGUCUCAGCCCUCUGAAAGGAAGCUCCAGAUACAGCAGAGCUUCUCAUAGGACGCCCCUUCUGCAAGCCUCACCAACAAUACCUUGCUUGCAGAAGGCACUCCCUCCUUAAGACAUAUUAGUACAUGAAAAUGACAAUCCGAAGAACACUUACCCUAUGGUCUCCAUGACAUAAAACUGAACAAGUUAUGUGUACAGGCUGAGCAGACAACCAGGAAGUGGAUGAACUCCAUCUCCGCAGCCACAGCCGCUCAUUUGCGCUGAACGAACGGAAGUCCCUAGGAAAGUGAUCUAAAGUCCUGCUAUUAAAAACAAACAUUCCUUCCAUAUGGAUCUUGAUUGCCUUCAGUCAUCAAGAGUCUUCAGGAAAUCUGAAGACCCAGAGCAAACCAGAAGUGUUGAGAGGGGAAAAAUGUGCAGAAAUGUCUGAGAGAAAACCCCCUACCCUUAGACAAAUUUUUCUUCUGAAAUUUUCUUCUUCAUUGCAAGUUUUACGUUGCCAGUUAAGCUAUAGGGCCUCGACAGAAAAUGAUGUGAAGUAUUUUCAGUAAAGUUGAUUAAACUGCAUGAUUUUAUUCACGCAUGUUCAGAAAAUGUUUAUUGUGGAACUACCAUUUUCCAGAAAGUGCCAGUGACACAGUCCUGCCCUCAGUGACUAGCUUUCCCAGUGAGUGGAAAGCUAACCUUGGAACCAAGCAGUUACAGUGCAGUGUGAUAACACGGGUCAUCAAACCCAAGAUUCUUCUGCUGUAAGAUGCAUCAUUAAUUUAUGUACCAUGAAGAAAAAUGCUGCCCACUGAACCAUGAUGUGUCAUGGAUUUUAUUACCUAUUCUAAUUUCAGAGGUGUGAAAAUGUGACGGGGUGGUAGGGAGGUGAGGGAUGUGCAUUUUAUUUUAUUUUAUUCUUUAUUUAUUUUGAGAGGCUGGGUCUCUUUCUGUCACUCAUCCAGGCUGGAGUGUAGUGGCACAAUCUCAGCUCACUGCAGCUCAACCUCGUGGGCUCAAGUGAUUCUCCCACCUUCUGAGUAGAUGGGACUAUAGGCGUGAGCCACCAUGCCCAGCUAAUUUUUUAAACUUUUUGUUGUUGUUGUUGAGACAAGGUCUCACUCCAGUGCUAUGGCUUGAUCUCAGCUCACUGCAACCUCUGCCUGCCAGGCUCAAGCAAUUCUCUUACCUCAGCCUUCCAAGUAGCUGGGACUAUAGGUGCAUGCCACCAUGCCCAGCUAAUUUUUGUGUGUGUGUAUUUUUGGUAGAGACAGGGUUUGGCCAUGUUGCCCAGGCUGGUCUCAAACUCCUGAGCUCAAGCAAUCCACCUGCCUCAGCCUCCCAAAGUGCUAGGAUUAUAGGCAUGAGCCUUGGCACCCAACCAUCAUUAUUUUUUAACUUUUUGUAAAGACAAUGUCUCAUUAUGUUGCCCGGGCUGGUCUUGAACUCUUGAGCUCAUGCAGUCCUCCCACUUUGACCUCUCACAGUGCUGGGAUUAUAGGCAUGAGCUACUGCACCUGGCCAGAACAUGCAUUUUAGAACUGAUGAAAUAUGUAAGGUAAAUCAGAUCCGAAGGAUAUACAGAAUAAGCCAAAGGGUAGGGUAUAGGGUAUAGGGGAGACUUAGAAGAAGGAAGUACUGUGCAGAGGGGACAGCUUGUGCUGGGAGGUCUGGAGGGAAGAGGGUAACUGCUUAUAGCUCAACAAGACUGGGGUUAGAGCCUGUGGGCUGGAAGGUGACAGAUGAGGCUGGAGGGGAAACAAGGACCAGAUUGUGGCCUGCCUUAUAAGUAGAUGGCCUUAGUCCCAGUUUACAUCUGUAGUGCUUCUUUUUGAUCUUAAGUGCCCUGUUGGACAAUAAAUUAUAUGAUCACCCUACUAAUAA